GACGAACGCUGGCGGCGUGCUUAACACAUGCAAGUCGAACGAUGAAGCCAGCUUGCUGGUGGAUUAGUGGCGAACGGGUGAGUAACACGUGGGUGAUCUGCCCCAAACUUUGGGAUAAGCCUGGGAAACUGGGUCUAAUACCGAAUAUGACCGAUACUCGCAUGGGUGUUGGUGGAAAGCUCCGGCGGUUUGGGAUGGGCCCGCGGCCUAUCAGCUUGUUGGUGGGGUAAUGGCCUACCAAGGCGACGACGGGUAGCCGGCCUGAGAGGGCGACCGGCCACACUGGGACUGAGAGACGGCCCAGACUCCUAUGGGAGGCAGCAGUGGGGAAUAUUGCACAAUGGGCGCAAGCCUGAUGCAGCGACGCCGCGUGAGGGAUGACGGCCUUCGGGUUGUAAACCUCUUUCACCAGGGACGAAGCGAAAGUGACGGUACCUGGAGAAGAAGCACCGGCCAACUACGUG
Molecule: ribosomal RNA, 464 nt
Filed under: uncultured bacterium
Lineage: Bacteria
Description: partial 16S ribosomal RNA
Rfam family: Bacterial small subunit ribosomal RNA
Source: RNAcentral